RNAcentral lists this ribosomal RNA (392 nucleotides) under uncultured bacterium. Its description in RNAcentral is "partial 16S ribosomal RNA". It matches the Rfam family "Bacterial small subunit ribosomal RNA", at positions 523 to 918 of the family's 1533-position model. The record is from RNAcentral.
AUACGGAGGAUCCGAGCGUUAUCCGGAUUUAUUGGGUUUAAAGGGUGCGCAGGCGGCGAUUUAAGUCAGCGGUUAAAUCGUGGGGCUCAACCCCAUUCUGCCGUUGAUACUGGGUGGCUUGAUUGCGGUCGAGGUUGGCGGAAUUCGUUGUGUAGCGGUGAAAUGCAUAGAUAUGACGAAGAACACCGAUUGCGUAGGCAGCUGACCAGACCGCAAAUGACGCUCAUGCACGAAAGUGCGGGGAUCGAACAGGAUUAGAUACCCUGGUAGUCCGCACAGUAAACGAUGAAUACUUGUUUUCGGCGAUAUAAUGUCGGAGGCAAAGCGAAAGCGAUAAGUAUUCCACCUGGGGAGUACGCCGGCAACGGUGAAACUCAAAGGAAUUGACGGGG